This 330-nucleotide unclassified non-coding RNA is filed under the name soil metagenome. RNAcentral's name for it is "partial contains 5.8S ribosomal RNA, internal transcribed spacer 2, and large subunit ribosomal RNA". The stretch from base 1 to 120 matches the Rfam family "5.8S ribosomal RNA", at positions 35 to 154 of the family's 154-position model. The record is from RNAcentral.
GAUGAAGAACGUAGCGAAAUGCGAUAAGUAAUGUGAAUUGCAGAAUUCAGUGAAUCAUCGAAUCUUUGAACGCACAUUGCGCCCCCUGGUAUUCCGGGGGGCAUGCCUGUUCGAGCGUCAUUUCACCACUCAAGCCUCGCUUGGUAUUGGCAACGCGGUCCGCCGCGUGCCUCAAAUCGACCGGCUGGGUCUUCUGUCCCCUAAGCGUUGUGGAAACUAUUCGCUAAAGGGUGUUCGGGAGGCUACGCCGUAAAACAACCCCAUUUCUAAGGUUGACCUCGGAUCAGGUAGGGAUACCCGCUGAACUUAAGCAUAUCAAUAAGCGGAGGA